GCGUCGGUGGUGUACGGUACACACGCCGUGCCUGUAGAAUGUCUGCAAAUGAUAAGAGUUCAACGGCGAGUCUGGGGUUCGACUCCCCGCCGGCGCA
Non-coding RNA from Mycena rosella, 97 nucleotides. NCBI's taxonomy places the organism in Eukaryota, Fungi, Basidiomycota, Agaricomycetes, Agaricales, Mycenaceae. The record is from the annotation of a GenBank genome assembly.